Cucumis melo (muskmelon) is the source of this 1732-nucleotide long non-coding RNA. RefSeq lists it as uncharacterized. The record is from RefSeq and is a predicted model, not a curated record. NCBI's taxonomy places the organism in Eukaryota, Viridiplantae, Streptophyta, Magnoliopsida, Cucurbitales, Cucurbitaceae. The transcript is spliced from 2 exons.
UUUUUUUUUUUUUUUUAAAUUUUAAAAGUAUCUAAUUUUCAGGCCCAAUAUAGUUGGUGAGAAUUAAAUUUAUAGUCUAUUUUACAUCGAUUUCUUACAAGUUUCAUCAUUUUCAGUAGAAGAGUUACAUUCCUAUCUAAAUUUUAAAUUUUCAAAAACAAGUUCCCCAAUAGUUUUUUUUUUAGUUUUUAGAAGUUGGACUGAUUUUUGAAAACGUUGAUAGAGAAUUUCUUGUUCGAUAACCUUAAAGUCUAUUUUCUCUCAAGUUAUUACAUGUUUAAGUGAAAAAAGUUAUAUUUCUAGACAAAUUUCAAAAACAAGUUUUUUACCUUUUCUUUUUAUUCAUUUGUUUAAAACUUAACUUGAUUUUUAAAAAUAUUGUAUAAAAAUAAAUAAUAAAACACUGAAAAUGAUAGCUUAAUUUUUUUAAAAAUGAAAUAUUAAGAGACCAUUUGAGAACUAUUUGAAUUUUUGCUUUUAAUUUUUUAGAAAAUAAUUAAAUUUAAUUUUUUCUGAUUUUUUACAAGAAAUAAGUUUACAAAAAUUAUAUGUUUUUAGCUUAAAAACAUGGCUUAAUUUUCUUAAAAUAUGAGUACAAUAAAGUAAAUAAAUUUUUAUACAGAAAGUUCCUUAUAAGCUUAUUUUUAAUAUUAGAAAACAGAAGGUUAAAAUGUUACUAAUCAAAAUCUAAAUGAUUAUAAGCGAUGUGACUACUAAAUUGAUCCUAAAUUUUUGUUACCGGUGGAUCUCUUGACAAUUUAAAAAUUCAUAAAAACAAAUUAGUACGUUGAAUAUAAAAUUAAAUUUAAUGUCUUUUAGUUCUAUUUCUAUUGAAAUUUUGAAUCGUAUAAAAACUUGAGAAUUUAAGAAAUUAAAUUUAUGAUUAAGAAAAUUUAGAGUUUAAUUAGACAUUCCUCACUCAAGUUUAGCAUCGAAUUGAAAAGUUAAGCCUAAGAUAAUUAAAAAAGAAUUGGAUAUGAAAAAAAAGAAUUAAUAAAAAAAGGACCAGAAGAUCGGUGAUUUGAUUGACUGAUGAUUUGGGCAUUGACCAAAAACGACGUGUGUUUCAUUACAAAGUGCUCACCCGACGAUCCCCAUCGUCACCCACGUCGUCAUCACCCAAUUAAUGUCUUACUUUUCUUUUACUUAACUUAUCAUUCUAUUCUUUUUAAUAAUUGUUUACUUCCAGACUCUGGCCAGUUACCGACAACCGUUCCCUUCCGAUUGACGGCGGCGAUGCUACUACUCCCAAAUUCUCCAGCAAAGCAGCACCGUCCGAUCUCUGAAUCUCUUCUCUCCUCUCUCAGUGUCAUUAAUGAAUCAAACAGAAACAGGAAAUUUUAGAAGAACAGAAUCUCAGAGAAUUGAACUUACAGUGGGAGGAGAUACGUUAUGAAGCACACAAGCAACAGCAACUCGCCAGCUUGGAAUAAUAAGUCUUUGAUGGCGGCUUUGAAGAGCAAAGAGAUCUGAAUGUUUGAAUAAGAAUGUGAAAUGAAAUUAGCGAUUGGAACUGAUUGUGUGUUCUUCAGUUGGCAAUUUUUGUGUUAUUUAUAUACACAAAAAUUGAAAAAAAAACCUUUUCGUUUUUUUUUUUUUUUUUUUUUUUUUUUUUUUUUUUUUGCCUUCAUUUUCUUUCCAUCUUUGUUUUAUUAGAUAAAUUAGAGUUACAUUUUUUGUAAAUAUUAAUUUCCACGUCAGCAUAUAAAUAUCCCUUUUUGUUUUGUUUUUC